CUGUUCCUACGGGACGCAGCAGUGGGGGAUAUUGCACAAUGGGGGGAACCCUGAUGCAGCGACGCCGCGUGGGUGAAGGAGUAUUUCGGUAUGUAAAGCCCUAUCGGCAGGGAAGAAGCAAGACGGUACCUGACUAAGAAGCCCCGGCUAACUACGUGCCAGCAGCCGCGGUAAUACGUAGGGGGCGAGCGUUAUCCGGAUUCACUGGGUGUAAAGGGAGCGUAGACGGCCAUGCAAGCCAGGGGGGAAAGCCCGGGGCCCAACCCCGGGACUGCCCUUGGAACUGUGCGGCUA
This 294-nucleotide ribosomal RNA is filed under the name uncultured bacterium. RNAcentral describes it as "partial 16S ribosomal RNA". It matches the Rfam family "Bacterial small subunit ribosomal RNA", at positions 333 to 643 of the family's 1533-position model. The record is from RNAcentral.